CCUACGGGAGGCAGCAGUGAGGAAUAUUGGUCAAUGGGCGGAAGGCUGAACCAGCCAAGCAGCGUGAAGGAUGAAGGUGCCAAGGAUUGUAAACUGCUUUUGCACAGGGACAAAAUCAGCCACGUGUGCCGGACCGCGGGUACCUGGAGAAUAAGCGUCGGCUAACUCCGUGCCAGCAGCCGCGGUAAUACGGAGGACGCGAGCGUUAUCCGGAUUUAUUGGGUUUAAAGGGUGCGUAGGCGGACGGUUAAGUCAGCGGUAAAAGCGCGGGGCUCAACCCCGGCGCGCCGUUGAAACUGGGUGCCUUGAGUUGUCGACAGGCAGGCGGAAUGCGUGGUGUAGCGGUGAAAUGCUUAGAUAUUGCGCAGAACCCCGAUUGCGAAGGCAGCCUGCCGGCG
This 398-nucleotide ribosomal RNA is filed under the name uncultured bacterium. Its description in RNAcentral is "partial 16S ribosomal RNA". It matches the Rfam family "Bacterial small subunit ribosomal RNA", at positions 338 to 734 of the family's 1533-position model. The record is from RNAcentral.